Molecule: ribosomal RNA, 467 nt
Filed under: uncultured bacterium
Lineage: Bacteria
Description: partial 16S ribosomal RNA
Rfam family: Bacterial small subunit ribosomal RNA
Source: RNAcentral
GACGAACGCUGGCGGCGUGCUUAACACAUGCAAGUCGAACGGAAAGGCUCCAGCUUGCUGGAGUACUCGAGUGGCGAACGGGUGAGUAACACGUGGGUAAUCUGCCCUGCACUCUGGGAUAAGCCUGGGAAACUGGGUCUAAUACUGGAUAUGACCUUUCUCCUUAUGGGGUUUGGUGGAAAGUUUUUCGGUGUAGGAUGAGCCUGCGGCCUAUCAGCUUGUUGGUGGGGUGAUGGCCUACCAAGGCGACGACGGGUAGCCGGCCUGAGAGGGUGAUCGGCCACAUUGGGACUGAGAUACGGCCCAGACUCCUACGGGAGGCAGCAGUGGGGAAUAUUGCACAAUGGGCGGAAGCCUGAUGCAGCGACGCCGCGUGAGGGAUGACGGCCUUCGGGUUGUAAACCUCUUUCAGCAGGGACGAAGCGUAAGUGACGGUACCUGCAGAAGAAGCACCGGCUAACUACGUG